Molecule: ribosomal RNA, 460 nt
Filed under: uncultured bacterium
Lineage: Bacteria
Description: bacterial SSU rRNA
Rfam family: Bacterial small subunit ribosomal RNA
Source: RNAcentral
AACGAACGCUGGCGGCGCGCCUAAUACAUGCAAGUCGAGCGAGAAGACGUAGCAAUACGUUUGUAAAGCGGCGAACGGGUGAGGAAUACAUGGGUAACCUACCCUCGAGUGGGGAAUAACUAGCCGAAAGGUUAGCUAAUACCGCGUACGCUCCUUGGACUUCGGUUCAGGGAGGAAAGCGAUACCGUGGGUAUCGCGCUCUUGGAUGGGCUCAUGUCCUAUCAGCUUGUUGGUGAGGAACGGCUCACCAAGGCUUCGACGGGUAGCUGGUCUGAGAGGACGAUCAGCCACACUGGCACUGCGACACGGGCCAGACUCCUACGGGAGGCAGCAGUAAGGAAUAUUGCGCAAUGGGCGAAAGCCUGACGCAGCGACGCCGCGUGGGGGAUGAAGGUCUUCGGAUUGUAAACCCCUUUCGGGAGGGAAGAUGGAACGAGCAAUCGUUCGGACGGUACCUCCA